RNAcentral lists this ribosomal RNA (336 nucleotides) under uncultured bacterium. RNAcentral describes it as "bacterial SSU rRNA". It matches the Rfam family "Bacterial small subunit ribosomal RNA", at positions 1 to 334 of the family's 1533-position model. The record is from RNAcentral.
CUGUACAGUUCAGAGUUUGAUCCUGGCUCAGGACGAACGCUGGUGGCGUGCUUAACACAUGCAAGUCGAACGGUGAAGCUCGGCUUGCUGGGUGGAUCAGUGGCGAACGGGUGAGUAACACGUGAGCAACCUGCCCCCUACUUCGGGAUAAGCCUUGGAAACGAGGUCUAAUACCGGAUAUGAACAUUUGUCGCAUGGCGGGUGUUGGAAAGUUUUUCGGUGGGGGAUGGGCUCGCGGCCUAUCAGCUUGUUGGUGGGGUAAUGGCCUACCAAGGCGUCGACGGGUAGCCGGCCUGAGAGGGCGACCGGCCACACUGGGACUGAGACACGGCCCAG